RNAcentral lists this long non-coding RNA (1869 nucleotides) under Lathyrus oleraceus (garden pea). RNAcentral's name for it is "Pisum sativum (pea) long non-coding RNA (PSAT_LNC039191)". Lineage: Eukaryota; Viridiplantae; Streptophyta; Magnoliopsida; Fabales; Fabaceae. The record is from RNAcentral.
UUAAAAUAAAUGAGAUCUCAUGAGGUGUACAGUAAUCCAUAUGGGCCUAAAGUCCUAAUCCACAAACAAUCCUACUAUAAUUUGUUGAUAAAAAAACUAACCGAAAAAAGCAAAAGAGUGAGGGUGCGGUUGCAACCUUAUUACCAUCAUAUCUCAUAUCCCUUUUUUUAAAUAAAAACAAAUAGACUGCCUCUAACCACAAGCAGACAUAUGGAAAAAUGGUGGAAAAUAGACAAAGAAUAAAAGACAUAAUGUUGAUGCAACGAAAAAAAAUCUGGAAAAUACUCCCUUCCUCUCCAACGUAUUCACCGUGAAAACAAAAGAAAAUCAAAAGAGGGGGUGUAACACAUCUAAAUGCAUAUUUCAGAACCAGUGAAAAUCAAAUAACACAAUGAAAUGCAAUCCAUUAAACAAACCUAAUUCCAACUAUAAGAAAUCUAAUUAAUCCCCUAAUUCUGACACCGAGAUUUAUUUUCCAAAAGGGGCGUUACCAAUUGAGGUACUAGCGGUUGAAUCGAAGAAGUGAGGUCUCUGAUUUCUGGACAUCGUGGUUCCACUUUCAUAGCGGCAAAUGGAGGUGAAGUGUUGUAUGGUAGAGAAGACGGUGAUGAAGAUGGAUCAGAGGUGAGAGCGGCGAUGUAAUGAAGGAGGUUGUUGUGCGUUUGUGGAAGUGUUGGGUUGUUUGGAGAUAACGGUGGAUUCUAUUUGGGGAUUAGAGAAACCGUGGGUUUUGAAGAAUCCCCUCUUUAAAUCCGAUGGUGAAACGAGGUCGUUUUGAUGCUUUGAGAGCUUCUUGCAUCAAUUGAACCAUUUUAGCUGAACCCCUUUCUCAAAGCUACGUCGCACCAGGUCUAUAUGUAAACAUUGAUUUAAAUAUACCAAACCAUGAAUCUCGUUGCUUUUUAGAUAUCUGCUUCCACGAUGGUAUUUCCUCAGCCAAGUAAGUAAGUAUGAUUGAACUAGUUUCCUUCACUAUCAACGUAUGUUGAUCAAACCCAUCUCCUUCUGGAAGUAUAAGGAUUUUGUUCGAAGUUAAGUUGACUAUUGAAAAUUCUUUCCAUCGAAGGACUUGGGUAGGAAUGGUUUUAGAUAAGAUAGGGUGAGGUUUAGACCGAGGUUUCGCCGAUUGAGGUUGAGGUCGAUGUGGUGUGGGUGGAUUUAUGAGGGUUGUUGACUGAAGAUUUGUUGGGAGGAGAGGAAGACGGCGAGUGGUGGUCGGAGUUUGUCGCGACAGAGGGAGUAUGAUGAUGAGGUCCGGCGGAGGACAGAGGCGACGUGGAGAUGUUGACUCGUGGAGGGUGACCGACGAUGUGUGGCGUUGAAGAUGAUUGUUGACGGCGGUGGGGUUUGUGUUGGUGAGGUUUAUUGGAAGAGGGAAGUUUUAUGUGAUGUAGGGGAAGAAUAUAGUGAGAUUGGAUUUUUUGGGGUUGUUUGAUUUAUGGUGGUGCGUGGUGUUUCGUGCGGUGGAGGUUGGAAGAGGAAGUGAGAUGGUUCCGUUGAGGUGAAUGAGUUUGGUGAGUUUGGUGGAUCACGUGUUUAGAAGUUGAGAGAGGCGAGUGGUGAUGAUCCGUGCGAAGAAGAGGAACAAUCCUUAUCGGUUUUUAUGGUGGGUGAGGAGAAGGAGAAAGGAAAAGUUUUGUUUCUUUUUUAAUGUUCAGAGAGAGAGUGAUUAAGGAGAGAGUUUUUCUCUGUUGGUGUUCGUUCCCCACCCUCUUUAUUGGAUCCCUUUUCCUUUUUUUCUAUUUUUUUUAUUCUCUUUUCUUUUUACCGUUGGAGGAUGAGAGAGAAAAAGCCUCCCUCCUUUUGUUUCUUAUUCACGUGAAGAGAGAGGAAGACUUGUCAGCUAGGUAUCACUCACUAAGAAGAUAA